RNAcentral lists this ribosomal RNA (843 nucleotides) under Metarhizium gryllidicola. RNAcentral's name for it is "partial 28S ribosomal RNA". It matches the Rfam family "Eukaryotic large subunit ribosomal RNA", at positions 74 to 940 of the family's 3401-position model. The record is from RNAcentral. Lineage: Eukaryota; Fungi; Ascomycota; Sordariomycetes; Hypocreales; Clavicipitaceae.
AUUGCCCCAGUAACGGCGAGUGAAGCGGCAACAGCUCAAAUUUGAAAUCUGGUCCCCAGGGCCCGAGUUGUAAUUUGCAGAGGAUGCUUUUGGUGAGGUGCCUUCCGAGUUCCCUGGAACGGGACGCCAUAGAGGGUGAGAGCCCCGUCUGGUUGGAUACCGAGCCUCUGUAAAGCUCCUUCGACGAGUCGAGUAGUUUGGGAAUGCUGCUCUAAAUGGGAGGUAUAUGUCUUCUAAAGCUAAAUAUUGGCCAGAGACCGAUAGCGCACAAGUAGAGUGAUCGAAAGAUGAAAAGCACUUUGAAAAGAGGGUUAAAUAGUACGUGAAAUUGUUGAAAGGGAAGCACUUAUGACCAGACUUGGCCCCGGUGAAUCAUCCAGCGGUUCCCGCUGGUGCACUUUGCCGGGGUUCAGGCCAGCAUCAGUUCGCUCCGGGGGAUAAAGGCUUUGGGAAUGUGGCUCCCUCGGGAGUGUUAUAGCCCAUUGCGUAAUACCUUGUGGCGGGCUGAGGUUCGCGCUUUAUGCAAGGAUGCUGGCAUAAUGGUCAUCAGUGACCCGUCUUGAAACACGGACCAAGGAGUCGUCUUCGUAUGCGAGUGUUCGGGUGUUAAACCCCUACGCGUAAUGAAAGUGAACGCAGGUGAGAGCCCUCCAGGGCGCAUCAUCGACCGAUCCUGAUGUUCUCGGAUGGAUUUGAGUAAGAGCAUACGGGGCCGGACCCGAAAGAAGGUGAACUAUGCCUGUAUAGGGUGAAGCCAGAGGAAACUCUGGUGGAGGCUCGCAGCGGUUCUGACGUGCAAAUCGAUCGUCAAAUAUGGGCAUGGGGGCGAAAGACUAAUCGAAC